AGGGGAUUUUUUUGGGGAGGAAGUCGGGGGGUUCCGGGGGGUUUUUGGGGGGGGGGGAUGCUCAGGGUGACCCCCCCGUGCCCCCCCAGCGCAGGCUCUGGUGGCCACGUCCCCCCCCAGCCACUCCCAGAUGGAGGACGAGAUCUUCAACCAGAGCAGCAGCACCCCGACCUCCACCACGUCCAGCUCCCCGAUCCCGCCCAGCCCGGCUGCCAACGCUGUGAGUGACCCCCAAAAUAUCCAAAAAUUAUCCAAAAAUUAUCCAGAAAUAUCCCAAAAUAUCCCAAAAAUACCCCAGAAACAUCCCCCGCCUCCAGCUCCCCGAUCCCGCCCAGCCCGGCUGCAAAUGCUGUGAGUGACCCCCAAAAUAUCCCAAAAUUAUCCAAAAAUUAUCCCAAAAUAUCCCAAAAACAUCCCCCGCCUCCAGCUCCCCGAUCCCGCCCAGCCCGGCUGCCAACGCUGUGAGUGACCCCCAAAAUAUCCCAAAAUUAUCCAAAAAUUAUCCCAAAAUAUCCCAAAAAUAUCCCAGAAACAUCCACCACGUCCAGCUCCCCGAUCCCGCCCAGCCCGGCUGCCAACGCUGUGAGUGACCCCCAAAAUAUCCCAAAAUAUCCAAAAAAUAUCCCAAAAUAUCCCAAAAAUAUCCCAAAAAUAUCCCAAAAUUAUCCCAAAAUAUCCCAAAAUAUCCCAAAAUAUCCCAAAAACAUCCCCCACCUCCAGCUCCCUGAUUCCGCCCAGCCCGGCUGCAAAUGCUGUGACACCCAAAAUGUCCCAAAAUAUCCAAAAAUAACCCAAAAAUAUCCCAAAAAUACCCAAAAAUAUCCCAAAAAUACCCCAAAAUAUCCCAAAAAUACCCCAAAAUUAUCCCAAAAAUAUCCAGAAAUACCCCAAAAACAUCCCCCGCCUCCAGCACAAAAUGACCCAAAAACCACCAAAAAAGGCCCAAAAAGACCAUUAAAAAAAGCUCAAAAAAACCCAAAGAUCAUCAAAAAAACACCAAAAAUCACCAAAAAAACACCAAAAAAAGCCCCAAAAGAGCCACCAAAAAAAGCCCUAAAAAAGCUCAAAAACCACCAAAAAUCCCCCAAAAAAGUCCAAAAUAACCCCCCCAAAAAUAACUAAAAAAACUCCAACAUGCUCAAAAAAAUCCCCCCAAAUCAACAAAAAAAGCCCAAGAAAACCCCCCAAAAAAACCCCCAAAAAACCCCAAUAAAUCCCCAAAAACCACAGAAAAAUCUCA
Molecule: long non-coding RNA, 1240 nt
Filed under: Lonchura striata (white-rumped munia)
Lineage: Eukaryota; Metazoa; Chordata; Aves; Passeriformes; Estrildidae
Description: domestica (Bengalese finch) lncRNA (ENSLSDG00000002782.1)
Source: RNAcentral